RNAcentral lists this ribosomal RNA (253 nucleotides) under uncultured bacterium. RNAcentral's name for it is "partial 16S ribosomal RNA". It matches the Rfam family "Bacterial small subunit ribosomal RNA", at positions 524 to 776 of the family's 1533-position model. The record is from RNAcentral.
GACGAAGGGGGCUAGCGUUGUUCGGAAUUACUGGGCGUAAAGCGAGUGUAGGUGGUCAUCCAAGUUGGAUGUGAAAGCCUUGAGCUCAACUCAAGAAAUGCAUUCAGGACUGAAUGACUAGAGGACCGGAGAGGAUAGUGGAAUUCCCAGUGUAGUGGUGAAAUACGUAGAGAUUGGGAAGAACACCAGUGGCGAAGGCGGCUAUCUGGACGGUUUCUGACACUAAGACUCGAAAGCGUGGGGAGCAAACAGG